Molecule: ribosomal RNA, 253 nt
Filed under: uncultured bacterium
Lineage: Bacteria
Description: partial 16S ribosomal RNA
Rfam family: Bacterial small subunit ribosomal RNA
Source: RNAcentral
UACGUAGGGUGCGAGCGUUAAUCGGAAUUACUGGGCGUAAAGGGUGCGUAGGCGGACUCUUAAGUCAGGGGUGAAAGCCUGAGGCUCAACCUCAGAACUGCCUUUGAUACUGAGAGUCUCGAGACCGGAAGAGGUAAGUGGAACUGCGAGUGUAGAGGUGAAAUUCGUAGAUAUUCGCAAGAACACCAGUGGCGAAGGCGGCUUACUGGUCCGGUUCUGACGCUGAGGCACGAAAGCGUGGGGAGCAAACAGG